UCCACGCCCUAAACGAUGCACACUAGUUGUUGCUAUGCUAGACAUAGCAGUAAUGCAGUUAACACAGUAAGUGUGCCGCCUGGGGAGUACGGUCGCAAGAUUAAAACUCAAAGGAAUAGACGGGGACCCGCACAAGCGGUGGAGCAUGUGGUUUAAUUCGACUAUACGCGAAGAACCUUACCUGGCCUUGACAUAGAAAGAAUCUUUUAGAGAUAGAAGAGUGCUAGUUUAC
This 232-nucleotide ribosomal RNA is filed under the name uncultured bacterium. Its description in RNAcentral is "partial 16S ribosomal RNA". It matches the Rfam family "Bacterial small subunit ribosomal RNA", at positions 794 to 1025 of the family's 1533-position model. The record is from RNAcentral.